This is a non-coding RNA of Schistosoma mansoni, 45 nucleotides long. The record is from Rfam. NCBI's taxonomy places the organism in Eukaryota, Metazoa, Platyhelminthes, Trematoda, Strigeidida, Schistosomatidae.
AUCCAGCUGAUGAGUUUCGAAUAGGACGAAAUGCAUGUCCUGGAU